AAGUCGUAACAAGGUUUCCGUAGGUGAAUCUGCGGAAGGAUCAUUACAAAUCCACGUCUCUACUCGAGACUCGUUGAAACGUUGAGGGCUCUGCUGCUGCUUGCGUGACUGAGUGGCCUUAAACAGCCCUUGUCCCUGGCAGCCAGCAGUACCCUCUAAAAAAACCUGUGAUUUGUUGAACAGUCGUAUUAAAUUAAAUUUUAAACAACUUAUAACAAUGGAUCUCUAGGCUCUU
This 235-nucleotide unclassified non-coding RNA is filed under the name fungal sp. RNAcentral describes it as "partial internal transcribed spacer region". The stretch from base 1 to 46 matches the Rfam family "Eukaryotic small subunit ribosomal RNA", at positions 1786 to 1831 of the family's 1831-position model. Lineage: Eukaryota; Fungi. The record is from RNAcentral.